CUACGGGGGGCACCAGUGGGGAAUAUUGCACAAUGGGGGAAACCCUGAUGCAGCAACGCCGCGUGAAGGAAGAAGGCUCUUGGGUUGUAAACUUCUUUGAAUGGGGACGAAACAAAUGACGGUACCCAUAAAACAAGCCACGGCUAACUACGUGCCAGCAGCCGCGGUAAUACGUAGGUGGCAAGCGUUAUCCGGAAUUACUGGGUGUAAAGGGCGUGUAGGCGGGAGAGCAAGUCAGAUGUGAAAUGCCAAGGCUUAACCAUGGAACUGCAUCUGAAACUGUUUUUCUUGAGUACUGGAGAGGAAAGUGGAAUUCCUAGUGUAGCGGUGAAAUGCGUAGAGAUUAGGAGGAACACCAGUGGCGAAGGCGGCUUUCUGGACAGUAACUGACGCUGAGGCGCGAAAGCGUGGGGAGCAAACAGGAUUAGAUACCCGCGUAGUC
This 442-nucleotide ribosomal RNA is filed under the name uncultured bacterium. RNAcentral's name for it is "partial 16S ribosomal RNA". It matches the Rfam family "Bacterial small subunit ribosomal RNA", at positions 339 to 795 of the family's 1533-position model. The record is from RNAcentral.